GGCGGGGUAGCUCAGGUGGUUAGAGCAAGCGGCUCAUAAUCGCUGUGCGCGGGUUCGAGUCCCGCCCCCGCUA
This 73-nucleotide transfer RNA is filed under the name Actinomycetales bacterium. RNAcentral's name for it is "tRNA-Met". It matches the Rfam family "tRNA". Rfam says of the family: Transfer RNA (tRNA) molecules are approximately 80 nucleotides in length. Their secondary structure includes four short double-helical elements and three loops (D, anti-codon, and T loops). Further hydrogen bonds mediate the characteristic L-shaped molecular structure. tRNAs have two regions of fundamental functional importance: the anti-codon, which is responsible for specific mRNA codon recognition, and the 3' end, to which the tRNAs corresponding amino acid is attached (by aminoacyl-tRNA synthetases). tRNAs cope with the degeneracy of the genetic code in two manners: having more than one tRNA (with a specific anti-codon) for a particular amino acid; and 'wobble' base-pairing, i.e. permitting non-standard base-pairing at the 3rd anti-codon position. Lineage: Bacteria; Bacillati; Actinomycetota; Actinomycetes; Actinomycetales. The record is from RNAcentral.